GGGCGGCCCUAGUUCUUCAAAACCAGAGAAAGACAAGCUGCCAAUUGAACAAGAGUUAACUGAUGACAAGAAAAAGUCUACCAGAAGCAGACGAAGGAAGCGCCGUAAUGAGGAUCUGAAGAUGUCUGCUGAUCGACUAGGAGCAUAUGGAAAGCUAAAUUCGAAGCGUCACAAGAGCCAUUGAGCUUUGGAGAUUCAUCAAAGUACAUCUAGGGAAUUUUGCUUCUCUUUUUAUGCAUUUUGGAGGGAGUGAAAUCUCAAUUAACGAGAGUCUUUGCUUCUACUUUGGGAGUUGCAAACUAGUGUAAUCCUCGUAGUCAUUUCUCUGAGUUUGCAGACAGUGUUGUGCACCUCCUUUCCUGAACCAUAUAAUUUAAUUGCCUUGAAGUUUGCUGCUACUAUGUUUUGUGUUACUGUCAUUUCCUCUUCUAAUUUGCUUGAAUUGUCAAAUUAUCCCAGUGAUGAAUUGGCAGAUGAACUCAUAUAUGCCUGUUGAACUGGCCUCAUACUAAUGUUGUUAUUGUGAAAUUCUAAUGGCAUGGCGCCUUAUCUGUUCAUGCCCACCUGAUGCUCGCACGCUUUGUGUGCAUGCCAUUUAUGUCUCAAUCUGAAUAUGUCAUGUUAAUUGAUAUAUCCAGAUAGAACCUACGGUGGUCCAAGGUGCUGCAAUAGCAAACCACUGCGGUGGUCAUUGCUCCAUGCAGUCUAGAAAAGUCAGAUUCCUUUGUUGCUUUUGCUCUCCUCUGCAACUGAAAACAAGUGUGCUACCUGUGCUGCUCGAAGCCCCUACCGUGUUGUGCGCCAUGAUCCCACAAAUCUACCCCGAUUUGAUGCUCCUGAGUUGGUUGCCUCAUCCAUUUCUCUGAGGAAUUUUCCAAUUUCUGCACAAGCAGCAAGUUAUGCAUUCCAGCUACUGGUUGUUGAGAGCUCAAUCUGUAGGUGAGUUCCUGUUUUGUUUGGCUUUCUGUUGAGAUUCUUGAUAUUUCUGCAUGGCGAUGAAGCAUUUUUAUUUAGGUGCUUAUCAUUCUGAUGUUUCUUUUAAAUUGAACUACAUGCUGUCGAGAAUGUUAUUAAUGUCGGGUCAUUAUCUGCAGAAAUGGAUCACAUGGAUGAGCAUGAGUGCAUGACAGUGAUGACAUGAAAGUAGGGGCAGAUGGUGCCUCUAGAUUCAGAAAGAAGAGGUCUAAAGUGUGGGACAAGUGCAAGCCCAUCUUUGUAGAUGGAGUGAUUCGGAGUUUCACAGGUGCUCAUGGCGUCCAAUGGUACAAGCCAUUUGUGGCGAUACAAAAAAUUUGCUGAGCAAAAGAUAAAUUCUGUCCAAGCCCACUGCAACAGGAUGCAGAUUUGCCAUACGGUAUGCUUUAGCUACUGACUAGCUCUUAGGAGAGAUGCCAAAUUUUAUUCCAACCAACUUAUAUGUUUGUAUGACAAAUUAGCAUGGGUGCUUUAGGCCUUUAUCAUUAGUUUGUAUUACUAUCUGUGCUUAUCUGUUUGAUGAUAUUUGUUCAUUCAUCACGGAAACAUUUUUUCAUGGUGAUUACCAUUUGGAGGAUAAAUAAUUUUGUUACAUUUUUUACUUUUAGUUCUCUAACCCUACUUUGAUGUUGUGAAGUAUAUUGUGGUUAGUGUCUCCUUAAUAUCUUUGCAUGCCGGACUUAAAGAGAAACAUUGUGAAACAGAGGGACAUACAAUAGAUUCUAUACACCUCAUUGAUCACUUAUUUUGCUUUUAUUGCAUAAAUUUCGUAGUUUGCUAGUUUGUGAGUUGUAUAAAGCUAUGCUCCUGCUUUUUUGUUCAUGCAAAAUUGUAUGUCUUCAAUAUUUUGUGCAUAUUUUGAAGGGAGAGACAUACUCAAACUUGUCCAGCAUGAAGUGGAAAUAUCACAAGUCGUCAGAAGGGUGUGCUGUUCCAGUGCAGUAUAUCAAAUUUUAAAUCCAGGCUUCAAGGUGAGCAUUCACCUGCCUUCACAAAUGGUAAGGUUCAGAUUGCAGAGUAUGCCAGGAAAGUUCCUCAAGGGCAGCUCUGAUGAUAACAGCCCUGUGGAAUGUCACAUUCUAGCUUUACCAGUGAUGGAUGAGAUGAAUUCCACAGAACAAUAUACCUCCAGCUCAGAUUGCUCCGGACAUAAGCUGGGAAUUUGACCAAGAAGCAUCUUAGCAUCUUAUCAAGAGUUAACUACAUGAUUAUUUCACAUGUCUAUCCCUUGUUAAUAGUUGAGCAUGAAUAAAAAUGACAAAGUUUGCAAAGAGAAUCCUGCAUUUAAUAUCGGUUGAAGCAUUUAUAUAGAAGAGUACUCAAUUCUUCUAUUUCAGAAUGAAAAGGUUGACCUUAAGUGAAAAAUUGCACUUUUAUCCCAUCAGAAUCAGAUUUCCUUAUCAGCAAGUGUGUGAGCUCCUCGUGGAGCUGAGGCCUUAGUGUGGUAUCUCCAUGCUGUCUAGAAAGUCAGAUUCCUUUGUUGCUGGAGCUCUCCCCUGCAACUGAAAAGAGGAGAGCCCCAUGGAAGUCCAAGCUGAGUGACAGCAGGUGACGGUCUAGAGCUCGGUUUGCUGCAAUCGGGUGGAGUACUGGAGUGUCUUGAACAGCUCCAACACAGCUUUACAUCCGGCAUUAGGUUUUCUGUUUCCCUGCUUUCAAAACAAUAGGUUUGAUAGUGAGCUUGCCUGAGACCUUCAGAUAUCUCACACAGACCAAAUUGAGCCAUUUAUGCAGCAACUUUUGUAACUGUCCUUGAGUUCCAAUAAGGAAAAAUAAUAUUAAUUUAUCCAUACAUCUGACGUUGACAGCUUAGAGCUUUGGGCUCCUUACAAAAAAUAAAAGGAACUCUGCGUGUUUGUGAUGCUGUCUGGUACACUGGAAUUUUACACUGAUGCAAGACAAGCCACAAAAAUGAACAAAAUUUUGCCUCACUAAGUGAAGACCGAUUCAAAGAAGCUCCUGAGCAGUAGCAACCAGGUCAACAAAAACCAUUGUGGCCUGACAUCCACUUCCAAUCACCCCAUUUGUAUAUUCUUGUCAUUUUGCCAUUAGCACAAAACAAAUGCUCAAUGGGUUUAUUCCAUCGUGUUGGUAGUUGCACAUGUCCCUUUCUUCUAUCGUCACCAUCUUCAGCACCCCACGUUACUCUAUUUAUAUGCCCUCUCCCAUCUCAGUUUGCUCCUACAUUGAUCAUAGUCAAGCUGCUUAUAUGAUAUGGUACAUCCCUUUCUACUGCCAACUGCUGCUCCUAAUUUCUGUCCUGCUGUUUCCCUAUCUUCUUGUUCCCAGAGAAACAUACUGAUUGUUGCGCUCUAGUUUUUUCUUGUACGGAACACACUGAUUGUUGCUGGCUUGCUACCAAUUUUCCAGUUCUUGUGGCCACUCAAUCAGCAUCUGGUACUAGUAUUCAGUUCCUUGCAUAAACUUGCUGUGCAAUGUCCAAGACUGAGAGCAGAAAGCUGUCCGAUGACUAUGAAGUUGUGGAUGUCCUCGGCCGAGGUGGGUUCUCGAUAGUGAGAAGGGGAGUGAGCAAGUCAGAAGGGAAGACCCAGGUUGCCAUAAAGACCCUGCGAAGGCUUGGUCCGGCGAUGAUGGGGACGAAGCAAGGGUCAAAGGGUGGCCUCCCAAUGUGGAAGCAGGUAUCCAUCUCUGACGCGCUGCUCACCAACGAGAUUCUCAUCAUGAGGAGGAUAGUCGAGAACGUCGCGCCACACCCCAACGUUAUCGGCCUUCAUGAUGUGUAUGAGGAUGUGCAUGGAGUGCACCUGAUCCUCGAGCUGUGCUCAGGUGGUGAAUUGUUCGAUAGGAUAGUGGGGCGUGACCGGUACUCGGAAUUUGAUGCGGCAGCUGUAGUUCGUCAGAUUGCGAGAGGCUUGGAGGCUCUUCAUAAGGCAAACAUCAUACACAGGGACUUGAAGCCAGAGAAUUGCCUGUUCUCUGACAAAAAUGAGGAUUCCACAUUGAAGAUCAUGGAUUUUGGUUUGAGUUCUGUUGAAGAUUUCAGUGACCCGAUUGUGACUCUGUUUGGGUCGAUAGAUUAUGUUUCACCAGAAGCUCUCUCAAGGCAAGAUGUUUCAGCUGCAAGUGAUAUGUGGUCUGUUGGGGUAAUACUGUACAUCCUUUUAUCUGGGUAUGUUUGAUAACUCUUCAUUGUGAUUCCCUUGUUUAUUUUUUUGCUCAUAGUUUGAAGGAUUUUACUUUGUGUAUUUCAGAUGCCCACCAUUUCAUGCUGCAACUAAUCGAGAAAAGCAGCAAAGGAUCCUGCAAGUAAGUCAUUAUUGUAGCUAACCUCUGGACAUAAUGCUGUUAUAUUAUUUGAGUUUGGUGGUGUUAGGAACUCUCCAGUGAUUCAUAUUUUGAUGUAUUCACCUUUUGAGCAUUUCUACAACCUUCUCUGACAAUAUGGAACACGUUGGCUCAGUUGUAGUGGGAAUGGGAGUUCAAUCAAUUUCUCUAAAAAACACUUUCCAUUUUCUAACAAAACCAGAAUCAUUUGGCAUCACUAGUCACACGUCAUAUUCAUGGAUGCGAUGUAAUUUAGACUUACAUUCACUGCUGCCUCAAUAGACUAUCUUCUAUAUGCUCUUCCAACCUAAAUUACAUUUAGAAGAUGAGAUUACCUAGUAGGAACUAGGUAAUUUAGGCAUAGCUCUGAACCUUCUGUCAUCUGGUUUGGAGCAACUGUGCACAGCAUGGUAACAGUUCUGUCAAUCAGUGCUGAAUUGUCUUCUUCUGGUAGCUAUCGGCACCUGAAUUUUAAUUUGUCCUGUUUCGAUGGCUAAGUUUUCUUGAGGCAAAUGGGACUUGCUUUUUCCUGGGUGUAAAAUAUUUCUCCUGAGUACAAACUGACCGUUCCAAUCCAAUUGCUCAGAAAAAAAAACAAAACGUAAGUCGAGUCCAAGAGGUUAGACAAAACUGCGUCAAAAUCUUCUUAAAAUGGAACAGAGUUAAACAAAAAAAAAGAAUAUCUUUAAAUAAGAUGGGUUCUUGGUUGUUUGCUUGCUUCAUCAAAGAAGGUAUCAAUUAUUAAAUAUUCCUUACAUUUAAUUGGGAUGUCUUGCUCUAAUGUUGUGCGUUUACCAAUUUUUUUCAGGGAGAGUUUAGUUUUCAGGAUCACACGUGGAAAACAAUAUCUUCAUCAGCCAAAGAAUUGAUUUCCAGUCUUCUUUCUGUUGAACCUUACAAGAGGCCAACAGCAAGUGAUGUCCGUGCCAUGCCCCCCCUUUUCCCAUGAUGGACAUUCUGACUAGAUAUAACCGUACUGAACCAUGUAUCAUUUUGAACCAGCUUCUGAGGCAUCCUUGGGUGAUAGGAGAUUGUGCAAAGCAAGAUCUCAUGGAUGCGGAGGUCGUGUCAAAACUGCAGAGGUUCAAUGCUAGAAGGAAACUGCGGGCAGCCGCAAUAGCCAGCGUCCUUAGCAGCAAGGUGGCAUUGAGGACGAAAAGGCUGAGGAACCUUUUAGGAACCCAUGAUCUUAGCUCAGAGGAGCUAGACAAUCUGCGCGUUCAUUUUGCACGAAUGUGAGUAUAAGCAACUUGAAUCCCUUUUUUGGUUUUACUUGAAUUUCGAUUCUAGCAUUUCUCAUUUAGCAAUAAGAAGAGGUUGAAGACUGAGCUAUUCAAAAUGUGGCUUAUAUCCAUAUAUCCUCCAGAAUCAAUUUUAAGCGUAAAAGAAUCCAUACUUGGUAUGAAAAGUGCAUGGCAAUUAUUGACAAAUGCAGAAUUCGAGAAUCAUGAUGUUUACAUUUGGCGUGUCAUGUGUUAAGCAAACUGAUGUGGCAUUUUUCUUUUCUUCGCGUGAAAAUUUCAGUAGUUCCAAUACUUGGUAAAAAUCUGCAUAGCUCCGAAACCUUUUCAUAGGACACCUGAUGUGUUUUGUUGACUGUACUGAAGAAGAGAGCGAUCCUGGCGCAGAUGUGCGGAUGGAGAGAACGCCACGCUGGAAGAGUUUGAACAGGUCCUGAAGGCGAUGAAAAUGGACGCGCUGGUUCCGCUGGCGCCUCGCGUGUUCGACUUGUUCGACAACAACCGUGACGGCACCGUGGACAUGAGGGAGAUCCUCUGCGGGCUCUCCAGCCUCAGGAACUCCCGAGGCGACGAUGCUCUCCGGCUCUGCUUCCAGGUAACAUUGUGCUCGCAGUUGUUUUGUGAUGCCUCUGUGCAUUGCUGAUUCGUAACCUGGGGGGGGGGGGGGGGGGGGGGGCGCUGCUUUUAAUAUCUGAACAUGACAAUCUUUGGCCAAAACAAAAUAAAAAAUGUCUGAUCAUGAACACUUGAAAUAAUAUCUCAGAUGUACGACGCCGACCGGUCAGGCUGCAUCAGCAAGGACGAGCUGGCGUCGAUGCUACGAGUAAGGGGAUUCAGAAAAAAAAAAAGACAAAAUAUUUGCUUCACCUCUAUUAUAGAAACUGGUGUUUGUUCGAGCUUCGGUUAGAAACGCUGACGACGCAUCUACUGCUUUGCUUGUGACCCCAGGCGCUGCCGGAGGACUGCCUCCCCGGGGACAUCACGGAGCCGGGGAAGCUGGACGAGGUGUUCGACGAGAUGGACGCCAACGGCGACGGCAAGGUGACCUUCGACGAGUUCAAGGCGGCGAUGCAGAAGGACAGCUCCCUCCAGGACGUCGUCCUCUCCUCCCUGCGACCGGUGCAGUAGACAAAUCAUCAGGAUUCAUUAAAAUUAUUCAUGGAGAAUAAUAAGUACUUUUUGACGCUGCAUUAACUAUUCUGUCUGAAACUUCUGUAUCCCGGCCGGCCGUAUGCUGGAAACGCGUUCAGACUUGGUCCCAGAUGCCUUGCCGCGUUGGCAGCUGUAUUUUUGUUUUGUUUUGUUUUGUUUCUGAAUGAAGCCUGCCUGCGUCAUUUCGGUCACGUAUAAACAGUCAAAUACUGUGUGAUUGGUGAUGGUCCUUGGUCGUCGUCCAUCCCACUCCGGAGUCAACGGACGGCAGCUUUCUCUGGCCUGUCAAAGGUAGGUAGCCCACGGGCCUCCUCCUGGGCCGCGCAGAUCCCCAGACGAGUAGCUGAGCAGCCCAUGGAGUUUUUCGGAGAUCUGAUGAACGUGCUUGCUGACGACUGCGCUGGGAUGCAAUCCUUUUUGGUGGAUGGUCACUCAUCGUGAGGAUCUACGGUAUCAGGACAGGAGACGUGUGCGCCUUCAUCUUCGGCGAAGAGGGUGACUCUCUGUCAGUGAGGGUGCACGUCCUUAGAGCAGCUCCCACGGGAUAAAAAUGGGGGUGCAGUGCAACAAGUUUUUCAUCAGUCACAGUGCAUAUCUAGAUGCAUAUAAACAUCUAUGAACUAAAAAGUCAAAAUAACCUAUAAUUUGAAAUGGAGGAAGUACGAGCUGAACAUUUGAGAGUUUUGUGCUAUCUGAACAUUUGAUGAUGAGCAGGUGACGAAUUCUUGCUGUACCAGAUUUGAGUACUCGAUUGUCGGCAAGGUGCUGUUGUCCUGAUGAGCCAAAGCAUGUGUGUUUGGCCCAAAUGUUUGGGAGAUGCAGCCUCUUUUAAAAACUCCGAAUCUGAGCUGCCUGGGUGCUAGCUGGUCUCCAUCUUUCAGAAUGGAAAGCGAGUUGUCGCCUCCUUGUUUAGUUCACCCCCAACUUCCAACUUUGGCACUAUGCAAAAAGAAGAUUCCUCAUCACAUCAAACUUGCGGUACAUGCAUGGAGUACUAAAUGUAGACGAAAUUAAAAACUAAUUGCACAGUUUUGUUGUACUUUGCGAGACGAAUCUUUUGAGCCUAAUUAGUCAAUGUUUGGACAAUAAUUCAAAAAUACAAACGAAACGCUACAGUGUGCUACAGUGCUGUAACAGUAAUUUGGUACCUCCAAACUUUGGCAACUAAACAAGACCUCAGAACUGACAGAUCCGUUGCUUUUCUUUGCUUGUUAUCCCGGUGUUAAUUCUGGAGCUGCCGCGACUGUCCACAUACGCAUUGAUAUUCUGUUCACACUCUGUCCCGUUCUCUAUUCUCUGGUCACGAACCCUCGAUUAACGAUUCCUUCGAUCAGGCGCGUCGGUUGGCAAAAGCUGGGAUACAGAACAUGCAACCGUGUGAUUUCGAGUCCUCAUCGGUCAAAGCAACCAUGAAGAAGACACUAGCCACUUGCUAUCCUUCAUCACAUCAUUUAAGUACGGUUAGAGAAAUAAAAGUCAAAGAGUGUAACAAAAUUCUUGAUCCUUCAGGUGGUAAUCAUCAUGAGAAUGUUUCCGUGAUGAAUGAACAAAUACGGUCAAUUGGGUGGCGAGCUCGCGGGAAACAUCUUAGCAGCAGGUGUCUCCGUCCCCGUGCCCCCCUGUGGCCCCUCUUCCCAACUGAGAACAGCGGCGAUUCAUGAAUAUUCUUCAGAUGGCAACCAUUGCUUUCACAUCCUAGGAGCUACACAGAAGAAUAGCAUCUUGCAGGAUGCACAAGAAACCUAACGAAGCAGAAGCAAAAGUUCCAGGGAUUGGAAGCACGAGUAUUGAUUUUUUUUCCCCGACACAUCUAAAAGUGAAACUGUAGCAAUAAGCACUAUUUGACAUGCGUCCAACUGUUAUGUACAGAUGAGCGUGCCCCUUCCGCGAUGCCAAAGAAUUCAACAGCUGUGCCUGAUCAAGAAAAAAGAAGAGACAAGAACCAGCCAGAUAAGGACUGACUACUGCGUAUAACAAGAAAAUCAACGAGAAGCUGACUGUCAGUGUGCUAAAUUGCUAAUGAACUGAAACAGUGAAAGGUAUUUCCAUAUAAUUGUUCAUUUCUGGUAAAAUCGAUGAGGAACGACAACGCAUGUCGCAGCAUUUCCCAUAUUCAUUUGUUAGCAAAUUUGAUUUCGCCAACAGAACUUCCCUACCAAAAUGAUACAACAUUUGAUUUAAGGCAUUUGUAUUCAUAAGUACAGUUAACAACAUUUAAUAGUUCAGGGCUCAGAGCAAGGCUUAUGGAGCGCAAAAAUCUUUACUCUACAAUGAGAAGCAGGGCGGGUUACAGACAGAUCCCUAAGACCUUGAUACAUUUUUUUUUACAGAACUGAUCCUUCGUACAUGCUGGAGUAAAUUCCUCAUUAUCCAUUGGCAUUUACCUUUGUGUUGGCUAUCUACAGUGUUAUCAUGCUGAAAUUGCUGAUAGCACAACUGAUGCAUUCAGUAAAAAUGUAUGAAAUUACAACGCAGGAGUUCAUAUUCAGGGAAAAAUAAUGAUGAUCCCUCAAACUAAACCCAAAAUCUAGGACAUUCUCUCUGCCCACAUGGAUAUUAUGUUCCUCACCUCCCGUCUGAAAGUCAGAGAAAUUCUUGUUUGAGAGUAGCUAGUAGUUAUUCCUGAACCAAAAUUCUUAGUAGUAUUUUCAGAAACAAUAAUAAAUAGCCAGGCAAACAUCAAACUUCUUUUCGGAUCAUAAAGCCUUGCAGAGCAUGGUGUGUCACCCAGCAGUGCAUACCGCAUCCUCUAAAAAAAAAGGCAGUGCAUACUGCAUAUAACCAACUACAUCUGUUUAGUAACAGAAAUUGGUUUCUCAAGCAUGCAAGCGACAAAAAAUAUAGUAUCAGGACAUCACAACAGUACAGUAUCCCAGCAGAAUGAUCUAGCCCCAGACGCAGCGAAAAUGGACAAUGUGAUAGCAAUCGUCCAUUCAUUCUAUGAACUGCUCCUUCAGCACUCAACAGUCAUGGAAAUAUCAGAUGUAUGGCAGUGUAACAACAUGAGGUGGUGGAAGAGAGGAGAGUGGAGAGAGCAUGCUUUGUGAGAGCAAGUGGCUGAUUCGUGGGACCCACUGCACAGUGAACAAAACCGAUGGUUUCCCAGAAUGCUUCACGCCAGAGGGUCCUGGCUACACGGGCAAAAUGGAACAAAAAAUACAGUACAAAAUUAAAAAGGACCCCCUCACUGCCGUGUGGGACCCACACAGCCCGCGUCCUACAUUGACCCACCUGCCAGUCGGUGCAACUGCAGUACAGCAAACAUUUCUGACUGAAAACAGCACAGCAAGUUAGCAACAGUACAGUGUGAAUAUAUGUAUACAACGGGCUGGCGGGCUGAGCUCCAGACUUGUCACCGGGAGAAUGAGACAGCAUAGCAGAACUCUCCUAUACCAGGAGAAUAGAACAGCAUUUAACAUGGUUCUACAAGCCUGGGGGGUUAUAUUACACAGGCUAUCUGGCUCUAAAUUACACAUCUAGCAAUCUGAGCACGGCAAAACCGGAGCUGUGGCAGGGGGGUGUGGGGGAGGAGAUAUGGACCCAUGGGCCACGGUGCCUCACUGCCUCAGCUCCAACAUACUCGCAACAGUGAUACAAGCGUCACUUUUGCCAGAUUAAGAUUACAAGGAACAGAAUGCGCCAUCCAUCGUCGCUCAUAGGAAUCAUAUCUUAAAUAGGUACCGCAGGUCUUCCACGGUGAGCCGAGUCGUGUGGCCACCGGAUUUGUCUUCACCGAAUGCAGAGCUGACCAUAGCUCUCUUUUCCUCCUGUUGAAUGGGAACAUGCAUAAGCAAAAUGGCUGUAAAUUUUAUAAGUAAUAUUCCGUAUCAAGGUUGGUUCCAUGAUAUGAUGACUUAAAUCAGAACUAGAAAUAAUAAUAGUCCAGAAUUGUUAAGUAGAAUAUAGCUGUUUGGUUCCAAAGGUAGCGGAAAGUGCCAUGGUAAACAUGAGUACAGUCGCUCUGUUUUCUCCUUGCACUGAUCUCAGCUAAUUUGAGUUCUCCAAAGAUCACUUUACAAGAAUAAAGCAAUUUGGUUUCAUUCACUGUCAUGUUUCAUUUCUUAGGCAUAACACCACGCGACAAGCUAGACAUGAUUCGGCACUUAUCACACAAUUUCUCAUAAACAUUAAAUCAGAUUGGACAACCAACUAAACAUCAAGUCAUAUAGUAUCUUGAAAUAUCAUUGCAUGAUUAAACUGCAUCUGAUUGUAUUGCAUAAUUCUCAUCCUCUAUAAUAACAAUAACUAGGCGCGUGACACAUAAGUAGUUAAAAAUGCAUCUCAGCAAACUUUGAAUAGUUACCUGUAGAGCUAAAAUCCGAUCUUCCACUGUAUCUUUAACGGUCAAGCGAGAUACAGUAACAGGACGAGUCUGCCCAAUUCUAUGUGCUCUAUCCACUGCCUGGUCCUCAGCAUAAGGGUUCCACCAGAGAUCAAGGAGAAUUACGUGGCAAGCAGCAACCAUGUUGAGACCAAGAUUACCUGCUUUCAGUGACAUAAUCAUAACCCUGACCUGGAGAAAAGAGGGAAAAUGUUCUUUUUAGUACAGAUAUCGACUGAAAGUCUGGAGAUGUAAAAUAAAUAAGGCAUGAAAAGAACAAACAGAACAAAACUACCUCCGGGUCAGUGUUAAAAUCCUUCACUGCUUUAUCUCUUAAGUUGAGAGACAUCGUUCCAUCCAGUCUCCUGUACUGUAUAAGAUUGCUAUUCAGUGAAAGCUCCAGCAAAUCCAACAUGCCAGUCCAUUGGGAGAAGACAAUCGCUUUUGCUGGGGCUACUCGACUUCGAUUUGAUUCCGUAGUAUCACUUUCAGUAAGGGCAUCUCUGUUGAUGAUAGAAUUUAGUAUAUCAAUGGCUGCUUGUAUCUUGGAGGAGAUGUAGCUACUUUGACUGAUUGAAGAUGACUCAUUAUCUUCUGAUGAACUUGUUCCUGCAGUACUAGAUUUGCCAGAGAUGCAAAUCCUUAAUGCACCUGAUGAAAAUAAUGAUUCAAGACUUAAUGUUUUACUGCAAUUAGGGGCAGGACACAUAUUCUCAUCAGUCGUUAUCCGUUCAUGUAUACAUUGAUAGCAGAAAACAUGACCACAAAUCGUCACAACAGCGUCCUCAGGUGUGUCCUGCAAAACACAAUUUGGUUCCAAGCAUUAAAACUGAGAUGAAAGAACUUUCAAGUGCAACAUAGGUUUUUAAAAAAAAAUGGAAAUGGAACCUCGAUCGCAUUAGCAUGCUUACACAAUGCGCACGCAAAAAAGGAUAAAGAUCUUGACUAAAUGUGUGCUAUCUGGCUCAAUCAUCCUACUAGGUAAUAUUAGACCUGGACCCUGGACACCAAAUUUUGAGUACAGUCCAGCAUAUGUGUGUUUUAGCCAUUUCAAGCACUCAUCUUGUUAUCGAUUCAUGUCCAAUUAUGCAUACUUUUAAAAUGAACUAAAGUUUGGAUGAACUAGAUUCAUAAGAAAGUGGGUUCACUUGAAAUGCAGUUCUAAGAUUAUAUGUCAGUAUAGACUUUGAUUGUGCAAUUAUCUCAACAAAAUUAUAAACAUACAUCAUGUUGAAAAAGUAAACUAUAAAUAUUUGUGCAAAAAUAUGCUCAUAUGUGCUCUGUAAAAAUAGGAUAAUAGAUGCGCCUCAUUUGCAAAAGCAUAUACGAACUUCUUUUUUGCACGAUAGGAUAUUUGAAUAUUUUUUAUAACUUUAAAGUAAACAAGUAUACAUAUCCAAAUUUAGGUGGAGCUAGUGUAGAGAAUCUAUAUUUGGGGGCCAGACUUGCACAAAAUUUGUAUGAUUACACCCAUAAAGGGAAGAGGAGAUAGAAAACAGGUGAACAUCGAAAUAGUGGUGAGAGAUCAGAUUGCUUACAUUGCAUAAGGUACAAACAGCAGAUCCCACUUCCACUUUUGCAAGCAAAUCUAUCACAACUUCCUUAGGCAGUUGCUUUGCCAUUUCUAUAGAACCAUCACCUCCAUAUUCUGACUGAUUACCCUUCACAAGAAGAGGAUGAUCACAGGCUUGCCGAAGCCGCAACAACAUUAAAAGGAUAUUGGCAUAGUUUUGUUUGAGUGUCCCAGCCGCAGCAAAUGCCUGAAACGGGCAGGCAACACAUCAGCAUCCAGAUAUCUGCUUUCAAUAUUCCCAAUCACCAAAAUGAGAUCCAAAUAUUUAACUACUGAUCAAAAGAAAAUCCACCUCAAAACUACUAUACACUUACAUCUUUAGAUCUACAGUAAAUGAUGGGAUAAGUAUGGAUUAAUGGAUGAAAUAUAAAAGAAGCAUGAGUUCAUACGAUAAUUCAAAUAGGAAAAAAAAAGAGGGAAAAGCUAGCAAUAUGAACCCAAAUAAUGGCUCUAGAUACGGCAUUGAUGUUGAACACAUGUGAACUGUAGGACAAGGAAUAACCAAGAAGAUUUGAGAGAAGCUGUCCAGAAAAUAAUCAGACAAAGGAAGUCGAAUUCGAGGAUUUAACCAACCUUGAACUGUUGCCGAGAGCGUUCUUCCAGCGUCAAAUAAAAGGACCGCUCCUCAUGUGAGAAAUCUAUUUUAUUCAGAUUAAUUGUCUUUGGAGGUAAAUUUAUGAUUGGUUCCCCAUUAAUCAGAGUUUCUAUAUGAAAAAAAACAUCAUUCAAUCAUCAAUAGAGAUUUUAAUCAAAUGGAAGAUUUUACCAAGUCCACAUGCACUCAAUAAAAAUCGUUAUAACGUAGCAAAUGAACAUAAACGAUGAUGAUGAUGACAAAAACAAAGCCUUUUCGGUCACAAGCAAGUUGAGGUCAGCUAGAGAUAAGACAACAAUGCUUAGCAACGU
Molecule: long non-coding RNA, 13453 nt
Filed under: Setaria viridis
Lineage: Eukaryota; Viridiplantae; Streptophyta; Magnoliopsida; Poales; Poaceae
Description: long non-coding RNA (SVIR_LNC002760)
Source: RNAcentral